ACAUGUCUCAAAUUCUCAACUAUUGAGAAUAUAUGUCAUCAUCUUAUUAAUUCCUUGGACGAUUUAUGGACACAUACACAACAUGAAUGAAAAUAAAAAUCCAAAUUUAUUCAUAAUAUUUUAAAAUUAAAUACAAAUUUAUGUCCUAAAAAGAAUACAUGUGUCGGCCUGGGGACAUACAUCGAACAUAAAUAUAGUAGACCCAUCUGAAUUUUUAUCAGUUUACAUAUAACUAUUUAAACCUUAAAAAGAUUUUAUAUCUGCAGCCGAAAGUUUCAACUUUUUACAAUUAACUACUCUGCAAUUCGUAAGAUCAAUUU
This 320-nucleotide long non-coding RNA is filed under the name Ananas comosus (pineapple). RNAcentral's name for it is "long non-coding RNA (ACOM_LNC005840)". Lineage: Eukaryota; Viridiplantae; Streptophyta; Magnoliopsida; Poales; Bromeliaceae. The record is from RNAcentral.